AUGCGAAAGGACAGUUGAAGACUGAGGAGAUUUCUCUCGAAGUCAUCUACGUCUUCUCUCCUUGCUGCCAUGGCUAGAGCCGACCCUCGCGCCUCUGCCAGGGCAGUGGGUCGGUGCUGCCCCAGCAGUCGCUAAUGGGGCCAUCCAUGGUGUGGCCAUGCGUGCAGCUGAUCUAUUAGUGUCUUGAUUGAUGACAUCUUAAAUAGAAGCUUUCAGGUCUUAAAUUCCAUUAACGGAAGCCCAUAGUCUUUCAUUGAUUAACUUCAUUUUCUUCUUUCCCGCUGUCCGAACAGAACAUUUUUUAAAGAUUUAUUUACUUUACAUCCUGCUCGGUUCCCCCUUCCAGAUCCCCUCCCCUCCCACAGUCCUUCCCCCACUCCCCCUUCCCUUCUCUGAGUCUGUGAGGCUGGCACUUCCUAUCCCACUGAGGCAGGACAAGGCAGCCCAGCUAAUAAAACAUAUCCCACAUAAAUGGAGCUGCUUUGGGGAUAGUAGCUCCCCUCCCCCUCCCGUUGUUGAAGACCCACAUGAAGACCAAGCCACACAUCAGCCACACAUGCUGGAGGAAGUGGGGUUAGGUCCAGCCCGUGUAUACUCUUUGGUUGGGGGUUCAGUCUCUGAGAGCCCCAAGGGUCCUGGUUAGUUGGUCUUCCUGUGGAGUUCCUAUCCCCUUCAGGACUGCAAUCUUUCCUCCUAUUCUUCCAUAAGAGGCCCCUCGCUCCAUCCACUAUUUGGCUGUGGGUGUCUGCUUCGGUUUGAAUCAUCUCCUGGGUGGAGCCUACAGAGUAUCCUUAUAAUAGUGUCAGGGUUUGGUGCUUGCCCAUGGAUGGGUCUCAAGUUGGGCCACCAGCAGGACAUUUUAUAGCUCGUUAAAGCUUCUGUGUGUGACUCAAGCAAGGUUGGGAAUUUCAGCAACAGCUGAAAAUUUCCCUCAGAGCUGUAACACUUUCACACAGCUCAAGAUAAAAUGAAUGGGGAGAACAGAACACAGCUUGUGAUAAAAAUGAAUUAGGAGGAGAGAGUGGUGUCUCUUAGAUAUAAUGUGAGGGAACAUGAUGCCACUGAUAAUCUGCUUGAAGAUGGUUAAAAAUGGCAAAUAUUGUGUAUAUUUGCUAGAAUAAACAUGAAUGAAACCUUUCUGUCCACUUGGCAGUGGUGAUGUGGCCUUGUACCUUAGGCCGUUUGAAACCAAGUGUUAAAUGUGAUUUAACCACUGGCUUUUCUUCAGUUUUUGGGCAAAAUUUGAACAGGAUUGGAAUGCCCGUGUCACCUUAUGAUAAUGUUUGCAUAAAUGAUCCUUCUGGUACAGUUACUCUUGUUUUUUACAGACAGAGUCAUAUCUACUACGAUGGGUGUCCACAAUGCACAAUGGUAAGGUAUUUUUGGGAAGUUAUAUUUCUUUAACACCAAAUAUGAGACUGAGGCAAGCGAAGUCUAAGUUUAGCACUUCCUUUAUGGGUACAACAGCUUCGGGUUUAAAGGGCGAAUAUAUUAGUUCAUCAUGUUGUGAUGUUACUUCAUGGCUUAAUGGCUGUGGUCUCUCUGGGAAAAGAAUGGUAUAAGACAGUGACCAUGCCAAUCCUCCAGUUAAAAAGAAAGCACUCAGCUGUGUUUCAGGCUUCUCACCUGUAAUUGCUGCACUGGACAGGCUGAGAGCAGCCUGAGCUACAAUGUGAUCCCUUUUCUCAAUAAGUAUAUGAGAGAAUUUCUUUUUAAGCUAGUGGCAUGACUUGCAUCUCGUUGUUGAAUGGAGAUAAUGAGGACUGAGAAGACUUUGCUACUUAGUGAACGCAGUAAAGGAGAAGAUUGGAAUCUAUAGACAAUAAAUGCACUUUUAUAAUCUAUGUGGCAUAGUCUUUAAUAAUGCAUUGCCAGGAGAACCUUGAGACUGCACAACUGAUUGGACUACAGAGUGCUUUUUACAGCACGGUAUGGAAAGGCUCAAGCAGUUACGUCUGGAUUGCAACUCAGAUGAUAUGGGUUUUCCAAGUGGCAAAGCAUUUGCUCGGAUCAGAAGCUGUCAGACAGGAGACGCCCCUCCUACCGCCACACUUCUGAGUCACUCCUGUAGAGUGUAAUUACAUAGUAUCGAGUGACAGCAAUGACUUGACUUCAUGGCUUAUUCUCCUCUCAGUGUGCCUAGAGCUUACCAUGGUGUUCUGUAAUGUGGUGUUUAUGCUAAUUACUACCAGCUUUGCCAUAGCAAACGCACCAGAGAGACUAACUCAUAUGUCUUAUGAUUCAAACCCUAUCACUAGUCCUGACCUUCUAGCUCAUUCCAGCCACGGCUCUGUGGCUCACAUCAGAGCUUUUCAUAGGAAGAGUGAUGAACCGCCUUCUUCACCAUAGCUGAAACAGACCUCUGCCCACUUCCCCUUUCCCUGGGUACAGAGAUCUGUCUCUCGAAUCUGGGUUCUCAGGAUGGACUCACCAAGCCUAGAAUCCCCCAGUCCUACUGGAUGCUUUCUUGUGUCUCCCGUAGAGUUCAUGUCCAUGUGCCGAUUGGGUUUCCAAAUACUUCUCUAUUUCAAAAUGAUUUCCAACUCCAAGGAAAAGUCAGACAUGGACAAAAAGAAGCAUUACUUCUAGUGAGACUAGAGAAAGGGAUCAAAACAUACUACGAAUGGAAUAAAGGAGGGCUGUCAACUUUAGAUUAUUUGAUGCAUGACAGUCUUUGCAAAUAUUAUAUAAAAUAGUCAUGCAACAAAUUUAAAGUUAUUUAAACACUAAUUUACUAUGAAUUAAAGCCUGCAUAAAAGAAAACAUUCUUACCUGUAUCAAAUAAAACUAUUGCCGUUUG
RNAcentral lists this long non-coding RNA (2800 nucleotides) under Mus musculus (house mouse). RNAcentral describes it as "long non-coding RNA chr1:24100624-24103424". Lineage: Eukaryota; Metazoa; Chordata; Mammalia; Rodentia; Muridae. The record is from RNAcentral.